RNAcentral lists this ribosomal RNA (836 nucleotides) under uncultured bacterium. RNAcentral describes it as "bacterial SSU rRNA". It matches the Rfam family "Bacterial small subunit ribosomal RNA", at positions 54 to 890 of the family's 1533-position model. The record is from RNAcentral.
CAUGCAGUCGAACGAGAAUCUACUGAAGGAGGAUUCGUCCAACGGAUGUAGAGGAAAGUGGCGGACGGGUGAGUAACGCGUGAGGAACCUGCCUUGAAGAGGGGGACAACAGUUGGAAACGACUGCUAAUACCGCAUGACGCAUAGGGGUCGCAUGAUCUUUAUGCCAAAGAUUUAUCGCUUCAAGAUGGCCUCGCGUCUGAUUAGCUAGUUGGCGGGGUAACGGCCCACCAAGGCGACGAUCAGUAGCCGGACUGAGAGGUUGAACGGCCACAUUGGGACUGAGAUACGGCCCAGACUCCUACGGGAGGCAGCAGUGGGGAAUAUUGGGCAAUGGGCGCAAGCCUGACCCAGCAACGCCGCGUGAAGGAAGAAGGCUUUCGGGUUGUAAACUUCUUUUAAGAGGGAAGAGCAGAAGACGGUACCUCUAGAAUAAGCCACGGCUAACUACGUGCCAGCAGCCGCGGUAAUACGUAGGUGGCAAGCGUUGUCCGGAUUUACUGGGUGUAAAGGGCGUGCAGCCGGGUCUGCAAGUCAGAUGUGAAAUCCAUGGGCUCAACCCAUGAACUGCAUUUGAAACUGUAGAUCUUGAGUGUCGGAGGGGCAAUCGGAAUUCCUAGUGUAGCGGUGAAAUGCGUAGAUAUUAGGAGGAACACCAGUGGCGAAGGCGGAUUGCUGGACGAUAACUGACGGUGAGGCGCGAAAGUGUGGGGAGCAAACAGGAUUAGAUACCCUGGUAGUCCACACUGUAAACGAUGAAUACUAGGUGUGCGGGGACUGACCCCCUGCGUGCCGCAGUAAACACAAUAAGUAUUCCACCUGGGGAGUACGAUCGCA